CGAGUAACGCCGCGUGGGGGACGACGGCCUUUUGGGUUGUAAAACUCCUUUUCUUGUGGGACGAUGAUGACGGUACCACAGGAAGAAGCCCCGGCUAACUACGUGC
This 106-nucleotide ribosomal RNA is filed under the name uncultured bacterium. RNAcentral's name for it is "partial 16S ribosomal RNA". It matches the Rfam family "Bacterial small subunit ribosomal RNA", at positions 388 to 508 of the family's 1533-position model. The record is from RNAcentral.